GUUGGUUUCACCCGAAGGYAGUGCGCUAACCGCAAGGAGGCAGCURACCACGGUGGGAUCAGCGGCUGGGGUGAAGUCGUAACAAGGUAGCCGUAGGUGAACCUGCAGAAGGAUCA
This 116-nucleotide ribosomal RNA is filed under the name uncultured eukaryote. Its description in RNAcentral is "partial small subunit ribosomal RNA". The record is from RNAcentral.